CAGUCGCCGCGGUAAUACGUAGGUGGCAAGCGUUGUCCGGAAUUAUUGGGCGUAAAGGGCUCGCAGGCGGUUUCUUAAGUCUGAUGUGAAAGCCCCCGGCUCAACCGGGGAGGGUCAUUGGAAACUGGGAAACUUGAGUGCAGAAGAGGAGAGUGGAAUUCCACGUGUAGCGGUGAAAUGCGUAGAGAUGUGGAGGAACACCAGUGGCGAAGGCGACUCUCUGGUCUGUAACUGACGCUGAGGAGCGAAAGCGCGGGGAGCGAACAGGAUUAGAUACCCCAGUAGUCCCUGUCUCUUAUAC
Molecule: ribosomal RNA, 301 nt
Filed under: uncultured bacterium
Lineage: Bacteria
Description: partial 16S ribosomal RNA
Rfam family: Bacterial small subunit ribosomal RNA
Source: RNAcentral